Molecule: long non-coding RNA, 793 nt
Organism: Bufo gargarizans (Asiatic toad)
Lineage: Eukaryota; Metazoa; Chordata; Amphibia; Anura; Bufonidae
Exons: 2
Source: RefSeq, a predicted model, not a curated record
UACAAACUCCAUGCAGAUGUUGUCCUUGGUCGUACAUUCAAGUUUGGACCAGGGGAACGAAUCAACAAAGCUCAUGGAAGAGGACAGUCAUAUACAAGUUCUUACCUCCUGGUAGCAAAAAGAAAUGGGACCCACCAUGGCUGUGUCCUGGAAAGUCAAGAAACCCUGACAACCCACCUGACAUCCUGCCUACGGGUUCAAAACCUAUGGCCAUGAUAGUUUAUUUCAAUUACGUACCAUGAUGUAAUGCAACUUGGCGAAAUACAUCAAGCAUACAAGUCUAUAAAAGCAAACUUCCGCCACAUUUCUAAAAUUCUUUCUAGUCGUAGGCACACACACACACAUUUCUUGUAGGAUAUCUUAUGGACUGGUUCUAGUGAGUGACUAUUAAUUGGAAAGGCUAGGUACUAGUGGUCCCACUUGUUAGUCACUUCAACCCAACUAAUAAGAAACAAGAGGAUGAUCUGAACUUGAUAAAAAUGUUAAGAACAUUUAAAAGAAACCCUUAAACACUCGAGAAAUUCUAAUGUAAGCAAAUUGUAUGAAAAACACCUAUGACACCGCCCGUUAGAGCCUGCUUUGAGCCCUGACAAUUCCGUUGACACGUCUAUAUGGGGCUUGUUAACAUCAGCAGUUAUUGCUUGAAGCUUCAGGUGCCUUCAUGACUGAUAAUGUGGGCCUCGGGGCAUCCAAGCACAGCUCACAUCCGGAGCCCUCGGGAGUUGGCAAAUGGUAGUUUAUAAGUGGUUAUAUGACUCGGAUGUCAAUAAAUGUUUUUCUGAUCUGCCGGAAA